Molecule: long non-coding RNA, 638 nt
Organism: Labeo rohita (rohu)
Lineage: Eukaryota; Metazoa; Chordata; Actinopteri; Cypriniformes; Cyprinidae
Exons: 3
Source: RefSeq, a predicted model, not a curated record
UUUCUUGUUCUCUGUCUUUCAGUUGUGAUAAAUCCCUACUUCUUCAGUUUCUGGCUCAUGUGAGGCCUGAGGAAGCCGAGUCUCUUUCUGGAGCUCUGGGUGAAGAGCUGGAUCUCAGUCAGACUCAGCUGGAUCCGCAGGUCUGUAGAGGUCUGGUCCUGAUUCUGGAAUAUUGUGAAGGACUGACAGAACUGGAUCUGAGUCAGUGUCGUCUCACUGAUCACAGUCUGGAUCUGCUGCUCCCAAACCUCCACAAAGUGCAAAACAUUGAUUUCAGUGGCAAUAACAUCACUGACGCUGGGGCUCAGAAAAUCCACAGUAUCGUCACUCGCAACAGUAACAUAAAGACAGUAAGACUCUUCAACAACAGAAUUGAAUCCAGAGAAAUCUUCAGCACAGACCCACGAUUUGAGAUCUGCUGAUGUAAACUCUCUCUGGAAUCAGAUGAAAUAACAAGUGGGAAAUAAUAAAGUAACAGGUGUAAAAGGUUUUGAAGAAUCUGCCCAUCAGAGUCCCAAAGAAAAAAAUAAGCCACCAUGAUUGUAAACCACAUUCAUUUUAUCAUCACUUUAAAUCAUAAUCAGCAGUGGGUUUCUGUUGCAUUAACUGUUGUUUUGCAAAAUGGCAAAAAAUCUGUC